Molecule: long non-coding RNA, 1486 nt
Filed under: Phoenix dactylifera (date palm)
Lineage: Eukaryota; Viridiplantae; Streptophyta; Magnoliopsida; Arecales; Arecaceae
Description: long non-coding RNA (PDAC_LNC008215)
Source: RNAcentral
UAUUCAGAAUUUGUAUUUAUGUUGAGCUUUGGUAUGAGUUAGAACAUUAUAUACCAAAGUUAUUGCCUAAAUAGAGAUAUCCUUCUCUUCUCCUUUUUACAAAUUUAUUCAACUUUCAGAUUUUGACAAUGAUUGUGUAUGACAAAUCUGGAAUUUCUUUUCAAUAUUACCAAACAAAAAUUUUAUGUAGUAUUCCAAACAUUCAAUCAAAUUGUCCAAGUAUGGAGUAUUACAAAAUAUUGAGAACUCAUAAUUCAAGACAUCAUGCCACAUGCAAAAUAUAUUAUGUGUUAAGUCACGCAUUAAAAUAAAAAAAAGAAUGUCAAGGAUCAAAAUCAAUUCUUUUCAAAUAAACUCCCCCUAUUUAAAUAUAAUUUUGCACUGAUUUCAUCCUUGAAAUGUGUUUUCAAGUGAUUAAAGCUUGACUUGAUUCUUCUUAUAUACUUUCUUUUACUUUGUCAUUUAUUUUUACUUUCUUAUGCUCUAUACUCUAUUUGCUCCCUAUCCGGUGGAGUUGGAAGGGGCACGAGGUACUGCCACUAGCCUCCCUCUUGUGCCGUCCCUAAUAUGCCCUACACCGAAUAGUUGGGUCAAAUAGUGCCGAGUACUACCACUAGCCUCUCCAUUGGCACCAUCCCUAUGAUGAGCAAUAUAGAAAGGUUAAAAUAUUUACUUUAAACUCUCCCUCUAUUUAAGUGUAAUUCAUUACGGAUUUUAUCCUUCCAAAAGAAUGCUCAUACAAGUCUUACAAAUGUGCUGAAUAUAUUGCGCUUGUUUUACUUUUUCUUAAGAUUGGAGUAUUUGCCUUUAUUUAGAUUUUAUUUCUCUUGAAUAAUAUCCAUUAUCUUUUCUUUAUCUCUCUUUCUUUUUGUUAUUCUCAAGUAAUUUACUUGAAAGAGCAGAAUAAAGAAAUAAUCAAAUGUAUCAUAUAGAGGUAUAUCAUGCAAACACAUUUUCAUUAUGCUCAAGAAUUCAUAGCUACUCACAAGUCAUUUUAAAUCAAAAUUUUAAGCAUAAACUUGUGUAGUUCAUGGUUAUGACAUAGGUAAAGAUAUAUUUUAGUUUGGGCAAACCAUGAAACAAUUUCUAAAAGCACAAGUCAAUCAAUACAAAUAUAGACAUGAUAUCAAGAAAUUAAUAAUUAAAGACUUUAAUCAUGCCAUAGUAAGAUUUAAGUUAAUGACUUUGCUCAGCUAAUUUAUGAGAGAGGUAUCUAAAAUUAUCGAAUCAUUCUGCAUUCUUCAAGUCAAAUACCUACUAGAUUUCUUAUGUGUAAUCUUUUGGCUGAAGAAAGUCCUCUCUCUUGUUUGCAUGUGAAUGUUUAUUGUACCUUUUAUGGAGGUGUCCUUCAAGUUGAAAUCUCUCAUUUUCUUGCUUAAGGAUCCUGCAAACUCCUUUUCUUUCUUGAAAGAAAGUCAUUAGUUUCUUCAAGAUACAAAACAUUCAUCUACCCUAUCUUUAACUAGAUAACUCAAUACACGAUAUG